UACGGAGGGUGCAAGUGUUAUCCGGAUUCACUGGGUUUAAAGGGUGCGUAGGUGGGUUGGUAAGUCCGAGGUGAAAUCUCCCGGCCUAACUGGGAGGGGUCUUCGGAUACUGGCGGACUUGAGGAGAGCAGAGGUGAGCGGAAUUCUCGGUGUAGUGGUGAAAUGCGUAGAUAUCGAGAGGAACACCAGCGGCGAAGGCGGCUCACUGGGCUCCACCUGACGCUGAGGCGCGAAAGCGUGGGGAGCAAACCGG
This 253-nucleotide ribosomal RNA is filed under the name uncultured bacterium. RNAcentral's name for it is "partial 16S ribosomal RNA". It matches the Rfam family "Bacterial small subunit ribosomal RNA", at positions 524 to 776 of the family's 1533-position model. The record is from RNAcentral.